Molecule: long non-coding RNA, 222 nt
Organism: Bufo gargarizans (Asiatic toad)
Lineage: Eukaryota; Metazoa; Chordata; Amphibia; Anura; Bufonidae
Exons: 3
Source: RefSeq, a predicted model, not a curated record
UGCAGAAGAGAGAUAGAGUGAGAGAGCAGAAACGGGAAUGGAUGAAAUGAUAGAAGGACACUUUGUUCCCAUUGACAGCGGGAGCUCGGGCCAAACCAACAACUUCUGAUUCAGCAGGAAGAGGUGAAUGGAUGGGAUUUAUUAGAAUAAGACUUCUCCCGUUACAAAUGUUUGAUCUUCAGAGAGUGGCUGCUAAUCCAACUGCACACCGCAAAGUAUGGC